RNAcentral lists this ribosomal RNA (402 nucleotides) under bacterium. RNAcentral describes it as "partial 16S ribosomal RNA". It matches the Rfam family "Bacterial small subunit ribosomal RNA", at positions 355 to 776 of the family's 1533-position model. The record is from RNAcentral.
UGGGGAAUUUUGCACAAUGGGGGAAACCCUGAUGCAGCGACGCCGCGUGAUUUAGAAGGCCUUCGGGUUGUAAAAAUCUUUUCUAUGGGAAGAAAAUGACAGUACCAUAGGAAUAAGGACCGGCUAAUUACGUGCCAGCAGCCGCGGUAAUACGUAAGGUCCGAGCGUUGUCCGGAAUCAUUGGGCGUAAAGGGUACGUAGGCGGGUAAGCAAGUUAGAAGUGAAAUCCUAUAGCUCAACUAUAGUAAGCUUUUAAAACUGCUCAUCUUGAGGUAUGGAUGGGAAAGUGGAAUUCCUAGUGUAGCGGUGAAAUGCGCAGAUAUUAGGAGGAAUACCGGUGGCGAAGGCGACUUUCUGGCCAUAACCUGAUGCUGAGGUACGAAAGCGUGGGUAGCAAACAGG